GCCAGGCAUGGUGGCGUGUGCCUAUAGUCCCAGCUACUUGGGAGGCUGAGUUGGGAGGAUCGCUUGAGCCUAGGAGGUUGAGGCUGCAGUGAGCUAUGAUUGUACCACUGCACUCCAGCCUGGGUAACAGAGCAAGACCCCAUCUCAA
RNAcentral lists this non-coding RNA (148 nucleotides) under Pan paniscus (pygmy chimpanzee). RNAcentral also lists the same sequence under 1 other name. The record is from Rfam by way of RNAcentral. Lineage: Eukaryota; Metazoa; Chordata; Mammalia; Primates; Hominidae.